Molecule: ribosomal RNA, 319 nt
Filed under: uncultured eukaryote
Lineage: Eukaryota
Description: partial 18S ribosomal RNA
Rfam family: Eukaryotic small subunit ribosomal RNA
Source: RNAcentral
CCCUUAGAUGUUCUGGGCGGCCCGCGCACUACAAUGGCGUGUGCAGCGAGUGCCGAAGUAGAGUUUUCCGAGGUAUUCUUGCAAUGCUCGUUUUGAUGGGGAUAGACCCUUGCAACUGUUGGUUUUGAACGAGGAAUUCCUUGUAAGCAUGGUUUAUCAUCCGACGCUGAAUGCGUCCCUGCCCUUUGUACACACCGCCCGUCGCUCCUACCGAUUGGAUGAUCCGGUGAGCUAUUCGGACUUUCGCAUUGUCGAUUUUCGGCUUUACGAGGGAAAGUCUCGCGAACCUUAUCAUCUAGAGGAAGGAGAAGUCGUAACA